CCUGAAAAUAGAAUGACAUUAACUCAAAACCUCACUUCAAAAGGAAAGAGAUGAAUUAUUUGCCAAAAUGUGGAACGCAGUCUAAAUUCAUUUUCUGACAAGCUUACAAUAGUUGUAUUUAACAGCAUUGAGGGCAUGCCCUCCGAUCCACUCAUAAAAUUAGCAAGAGUACAUCAGAAUGUGACAUCAGGGGACUUCAUGUCAUUCUACAUUUCUGCCCACUGAUCCUUUUGGACGGUUGAACAUCUUUUAAAGACUUGCAUUUUUAAUAUACCCCCACUAGUGACUGAUCUUGUUCUUUUCUUUUUCUUGAAAGUUAUUAAGAAUUCUGGAACUGAACUAUGCAUUAAGAUGCAUUUGCCAAAGGUCAACAUCCCUUUAACUCAGUAAGUGGGUAAGUAUUGGAAAAAUCAAGAUCAGUCAUGUCCUUUCCCCCUCUGUCAACAUUCAGUCUACCUAAAUUAGGUGGAACAGCAUCAAUAAACACUCUCACGACCUUUUCUUCUGCGACAUACUCCUACACUGCCUUUUAGAGAAAAAAAAUGCUCCCACCUAUUAAACAUGCUCUUAAUAGGCUAACAAGAUAUAUGGGCUCUGCACGGCAUUCCAAUCGCUAUCUAAGGAAGUAAAAAAAAAAAAGAGUAGCAGGGACUGUCGGCAUGCAUACUAAUAGCUGGAAACUUGAUUUGGAGCAAGUGUGCUAAACAAAUGAAGGACCACUUAGCCUGCUAAUGAAGUAUUAGAUUUCGAACAAGUUGCCAAUGACAGGUAAUAAAGGUGGCCAACUCGUGAAUUGUAUAUUCAUAUAGGAAGCAACACUUUGCAAGUUUCGUUUGUCUAGUUGAGCUGUCAAUUAAGAAAGAUAUUGCCACUGCAAGGGUUAUUUUUCUAGCCCAGUAGUCAUUCAUAAAGCAUUUUUUAAUUGAUUAAUAUUUGUUUCCUUUCAACCAGUCAAGGGUAAGGUGACACCUGUCCACCGACAAUUCUAUUGCAGAGUGGACUAGUAGACAGCUGCGCAGUUUGAUAUGUCCUCCUUCCCCUAAUAUACAAGCAUUAGGCGCACUAACAAGCAAUGUGAUUUGGGGUAGAAAAAGUAUCUGGCCCACAAACUGAACAUACAAAGACUAUAUAUCGACCAAAAGCAAGAGAUUUUUUUUAUUUGUGGGCAAAUUUAGAUUUUAUUUUAGGUAAUGUAAAAAUUGGAGCUUAAUUACAUGAUGAGUUCUGCUAGAUACCAAAUUUGUUCUCCACUUAGACUACCAGAACACGUACAUUUAAGAAGUAAGCCACAACAGUAGAUAGGAAGCAUUUACGGAUAGCCUUCAUUUAUAUUACUGGAUGCCAGGAUAGCAUAAAUCUAUUAAUAACCAGGAAUAUUUCCAGUCAAAACAAGGCAGAGGUGUUCCUAAAAUCCAAAUAUUUCAGGUAAUCACUCUUCAGUUCACACAGCAACAGGCCCCACAAAUUCACUCCAGAUCCAGUCAAUAGCUGAAUUGACCGUUUGCGACAACUGUAUCGUGACAACAGUAAGAGAAGUUCUUGCACACAAAGUGGAUGCAUGCAUGGACUGAAAGAAAAAAAAAAGCUUUUUCAGGGAACAAAAUGCAUGGAAAGGGGAUUGAAGGCAGGAGGGAUUAUGAACCUUGGGAAGUUGGAGUUGGAGAGCUUCUUCUCGCCGUACUUCCUCCACUGGUGCCCGUCAUCAUACGGAGCGUAAGUGUCCGAGGUCCAGCAGGGGAAACUUGAGGAAGCUGCGCUUCUGCGUACCUGAUCCUUUGCUGCUGGGUUCUGGCAGCCCUGUGGGCUGAUCCCAAGUCGCUGAGAUAGGUAGGAACAGAAUCUAGAGCCAUGGCAAGAAUGGUGAGCGGAGGGAGGCCGCUGACGAACUGAUGAAGAGGGAGGGAGAGAGGAUCAGAGGAGACGUUUCUUGGGGGAACUCGGCGGCCUGCGCUGGGAGACUCUGACGACCUUUAUUUAUAGCAUUAAACAACGACGGUGCAGCCAGGAGCAUUUUUCAACGUUAACACGCGUCGUUGCCUCUGGAACUCCCCCUAACGGCGCCGCUGCACUUCCUCUUCGUGCAUUUUUAUAUGUUCUCCAUGGCAGGACUCCUUUCCAACUUAUUCCUACUAAUUACAAUUUACAAGCACUAAUAUCAUUUUGCAGCGCUGCAAGUAAGAAUCUGUCCAAGAGCUAUGCUUUCUUUCAA
Panicum virgatum (switchgrass) is the source of this 2209-nucleotide long non-coding RNA. RefSeq lists it as uncharacterized. The record is from RefSeq and is a predicted model, not a curated record. NCBI's taxonomy places the organism in Eukaryota, Viridiplantae, Streptophyta, Magnoliopsida, Poales, Poaceae. The transcript has 2 exons.